AUUGAACGCUGGCGGAAUGCUUUACACAUGCAAGUCGAACGGCAGCACGAGGGCAACCUUGGUGGCGAGUGGCGAACGGGUGAGUAAUACAUCGGAACGUGCCCAGUCGUGGGGGAUAACGUAGCGAAAGCUACGCUAAUACCGCAUACGAUCUAUGGAUGAAAGCGGGGGACCGUAAGGCCUCGCGCGAUUGGAGCGGCCGAUGGCAGAUUAGGUAGUUGGUGGGGGUAAAGGCUCACCAAGCCUGCGAUCUGUAGCUGGUCUGAGAGGACGACCAGCCACACUGGAACUGAGACACGGUCCAGACUCCUACGGGAGGCAGCAGUGGGGAAUUUUGGACAAUGGGCGCAAGCCUGAUCCAGCCAUUCCGCGUGCAGGAUGAAGGCCUCGGUU
RNAcentral lists this ribosomal RNA (393 nucleotides) under uncultured bacterium. Its description in RNAcentral is "bacterial SSU rRNA". It matches the Rfam family "Bacterial small subunit ribosomal RNA", at positions 30 to 424 of the family's 1533-position model. The record is from RNAcentral.